UACGUAGGGUGCGAGCGUUGUCCGGAAUUACUGGGCGUAAAGAGUUCGUAGGCGGUUUGUCGCGUCGUUCGUGAAAACUUGGGGCUUAACUCCAAGCGUGCGGGCGAUACGGGCAGACUUGAGUACUACAGGGGAGACUGGAAUUCCUGGUGUAGCGGUGAAAUGCGCAGAUAUCAGGAGGAACACCGGUGGCGAAGGCGGGUCUCUGGGCCGAUAUUGACGCUGAGGAGCGAAAGCGUGGGGAGCAAACAGG
RNAcentral lists this ribosomal RNA (253 nucleotides) under uncultured bacterium. Its description in RNAcentral is "partial 16S ribosomal RNA". It matches the Rfam family "Bacterial small subunit ribosomal RNA", at positions 524 to 776 of the family's 1533-position model. The record is from RNAcentral.